Molecule: ribosomal RNA, 251 nt
Filed under: uncultured prokaryote
Description: partial 16S rRNA
Rfam family: Bacterial small subunit ribosomal RNA
Source: RNAcentral
ACAGAGGUGGCAAGCGUUGUUCGGAUUUAUUGGGCGUAAAGGGUCCGUAGGCGGCCUGAAAAGUUGGAUGUGAAAUCCCACAGCUAAACUGUGGAACUGCAUUCAAAACUUUCAGGCUCGAGUGUGAUAGGGGUAAAGGGAAUUCCCGGUGUAAGGGUGAAUGCUGCAGAGAUCGGGAGGAACACCAGUAGCGAAGGCGCUUUACGGGAUCACUACUGAUGCUGAGGGACGAAAGAAAGGUGAGCAAACGG